AGCGAACGCUGGCGGCGUGCUUAACACAUGCAAGUCGAGCGGUAAGGCCCUUUCGGGGGUACACGAGCGGCGAACGGGUGAGUAACACGUGGGUGACCUGCCCUCAGCUCUGGGAUAAGCCUGGGAAACCGGGUCUAAUACCGGAUAUGACUCCAUGACGCAUGUUGUGGGGUGGAAAGCCUUGUGCGGCUGAGGAUGGGCCCGCGGCCUAUCAGCUUGUUGGUGGGGUGAUGGCCUACCAAGGCGACGACGGGUAGCCGGCCUGAGAGGGCGACCGGCCACACUGGGACUGAGACACGGCCCAGACUCCUACGGGAGGCAGCAGUGGGGAAUCUUGCGCAAUGGGCGAAAGCCUGACGCAGCGACGCCGCGUGAGGGAUGACGGCCU
RNAcentral lists this ribosomal RNA (388 nucleotides) under uncultured bacterium. RNAcentral describes it as "bacterial SSU rRNA". It matches the Rfam family "Bacterial small subunit ribosomal RNA", at positions 28 to 417 of the family's 1533-position model. The record is from RNAcentral.